GCGGCGUCGUGGUGGGCGGCGCCAUGCUGGCCUCCGGCGCCGUGACCGGCGGCGUAGUGCUGUUCCUGCUCUGCUCGGUGGGCGCCGCG
RNAcentral lists this transfer RNA (89 nucleotides) under Paractinoplanes rishiriensis. RNAcentral describes it as "Actinoplanes rishiriensis tRNA-Arg". The record is from RNAcentral. Lineage: Bacteria; Bacillati; Actinomycetota; Actinomycetes; Micromonosporales; Micromonosporaceae.